UAUAUUGGUUAUAGAAGUUGUGUUUAAGGAACCUUGUGUAAAUCAAGGGCUGUGCCGCAACCGUGGUUCGACGAUGCUCACCAUCUUCGAUAAGUCGGAAAACUAGCAGCUUCUCCGCCAGCCGG
RNAcentral lists this non-coding RNA (125 nucleotides) under Candidatus Woeseibacteriota. The record is from RNAcentral.